UCAGGCCUAACACAUGCAAGUCGAGCGGUAACAGAUCUAGCUUGCUAGAUGCUGACGAGCGGCGGACGGGUGAGUAACGCGUAGGAAUCUACCCAGUAGCGGGGGAUAAGCCAGAGAAAUUUGGUCUAAUACCGCAUACGCCCUUCGGGGGAAAGCAGGGGAUCUUCGGACCUUGCACUAUUGGAUGAGCCUGCGUGAGAUUAGCUUGUUGGUGAGGUAAAGGCUCACCAAGGCGACGAUCUCUAGCUGGUCUGAGAGGAUGAUCAGCCACACUGGAACUGAGACACGGUCCAGACUCCUACGUGAGGCAGCAGUGGGGAAUAUUGCACAAUGGGCGCAAGCCUGAUGCAGCCAUGCCGCGUGUGUGAAGAAGGCCCUAGGGUUGUAAAGCACUUUCAGCAGUGAGGAAAGGUGUGUGGUUAAUACCCGCAUACUGUGACGUUAACUGCAGAAGAAGCACCG
RNAcentral lists this ribosomal RNA (462 nucleotides) under uncultured Gammaproteobacteria bacterium. RNAcentral describes it as "bacterial SSU rRNA". It matches the Rfam family "Bacterial small subunit ribosomal RNA", at positions 42 to 495 of the family's 1533-position model. Lineage: Bacteria; Pseudomonadati; Pseudomonadota; Gammaproteobacteria. The record is from RNAcentral.